This is a long non-coding RNA of Agrilus planipennis (emerald ash borer), 542 nucleotides long. RefSeq lists it as uncharacterized. The transcript is spliced from 3 exons. The record is from RefSeq and is a predicted model, not a curated record. Lineage: Eukaryota; Metazoa; Arthropoda; Insecta; Coleoptera; Buprestidae.
AUUAGUUGACAAAUGCUGUGUAUAAUCACAUUUAUCAAACAGUUGAUUAUUAAUUUUAUUUAGCAUUUUUAUUAGAUAUAUAUUGUACAUUGUUUUCUGUAUUUAUUUUGCAACUAAUGUAAGUCCUUUAUUAACUAAAACAUUUUUGUAAACGAUCCUCUAACCUAAUUGGCGCUGUUUACAUUGAAUGGUUUAUUUUGAUUAAAAGAAUUGGAUCUAGAAAAUACUGCACGUAAUUGUUAUUGAAGCAAUCCAAUGGAAACGUAAAACAUAUGAAGAUUGUUAAUAUGCUUAAAGGAAAUCAGAGGUAAAUGACAAUAUCCUUUAAAAGAAUUAUUGUGAAAAACAAUUGCCUAUAAUGUACAAAAACAAUUACUUGGGGGAAAUUUGCAUUGGCACUGAAGAAAUUAAGUCUUUUUUAUAAAUAUAAGUGUAUGCUGCAUCGUUGAAAUACAAUGGACAGAGGUCCUUGUCUUCUGAUUAUAUAGAUGAUAAGUUUAAAUUUGUAAAUAGUACUAGCAAAUUAAAUUUCCUGCAUCCAA